GUUAAGAAAGAGUGGGAAUCCGAUUGGGCUGCAGUGAUUCACUUUCUCUUUUACUGAUGGGUGGACAGGCAGGUGAGUUCUUAGGAUGAAUUCAGGAGGCAGCGAGGGAGACAGACUUGGAGUCAACAUGACUGGAACAAGAGGACAACAAGGAAAUCCACUCUUCUAAAUACUGCCUCCUGAUUGCAGCAAAGUGGCAUCAGCUGGGAGCUCACCGUGCGAAAACACACCCUGAGGAGGAGAAAGGUGCACAGUUGUUGUUUCUCAGAAGACACAAGUGGACACUACAAUGCAAGAACAUCUCUGUGUGGUUGGUAAAGGUGAACAUCCUGAAGGAGAAACGUGCCACAGUGGAGACACCAUUUUGAAUCGCCUCUACUGUUCCAUCUUCUGGAUUAGGACACCUGAGUGACAAAACAGAUGCAGGAGUAAGAAUUUCAGCCAGCUGGGAGAAAAUUAACCAUUUAGAGUUAUAAAAGUCAACAAGAUUUUCUCUAUUACUGUGAAACAAUGAGAUUCCAGCGAACAGGGUAGUUGGCCUGAUUGACUGGCGUGCCCCAGCAAGAGUCAAGAACGGUGGCAAACUGGCGCUGAUCCACUCCUUCUGUUCUCACUUCCACAUAAAACAUUUCAUCAACUUCCAUUUCUAUGUUUCUGUUAGUACUAAGGGGAUAGCGGAAGUCUUCAUCCUCGUAGGGGAUCAUUCUCAUACGAUAAGAUCCGAUGCCAAUAGGAAGCUUCUUCCUCAAAAUGCUACAAAAUAAACAUUGUUUGUGAGCAUCCAGUUUUAUUCUUUUGAUACUCAUAAUGACACUGCAAACACAAUCAUCACCUUUCUAGAGGGUUGAUGCCUACAGACAUUGACAGUGCCUGAGCCAGAGGGUAAAUACAGCAGAACUGCAGAUGAAGGUUCCUCUGACGACUGAUUAGACCUUCAUGAGGAUCCACGUUCCCCUGAAUGGUGUUCUCGUACAUGAAAGCUGUCCCACACAAAUGGUUGUCAUUGUCAAAGUGGAAGAUCAGUCGUCCGUCCUGCAGAGUCCCAUUGCAGGAGGAAUCUCGUAGGUGGAGAGCAGUUGGAUGGAAGCCAGCUUCAAACAGUUGACAGCGAGAUAUUGACAUGGUGCCUGAACUGCUGGCACAUUGGAUGCUCGAGUCUGCUUACCAGAAAGACAACAGAAGUUCGAUUGCAAAUCCUCCCUCUUCAAGUUGGCAAUCCAUUGACGGACUCGUGGAUAAUGAAUCAGAAAGGUGGCGCCCUGUCCUCGUUGGUCCUCCUGCACAGCUGCGGCUCAUUGGUUCAUCAAAGGGGAGUAUUUGAGCCGUUGACUGCCACUACCUCGACGCCAGAGUGUUUGCCAGUUUUGGGUAGUCUUCCCGCUGACUGGAAGGUUUGGCCUUCUCCCCCGGGAAGGAUAUUUUUUUGUUCACACUGAGCUAGGGAAAAGUUCCACACAAUCCAUUGAAGUACCAUCAGAAAUCUAAGUGGCAGUCCGCUCUCAUACUCCUCAGGGUCCAACUCCACCAAACUGU
Molecule: long non-coding RNA, 1533 nt
Organism: Cyprinodon tularosa
Lineage: Eukaryota; Metazoa; Chordata; Actinopteri; Cyprinodontiformes; Cyprinodontidae
Exons: 7
Source: RefSeq, a predicted model, not a curated record